AUUGAACGCUGGCGGUAUGCUUAACACAUGCAAGUCGAACGAUGAGAAAGAGCUUGCUCUUUCGAUUAGUGGCGGACGGGUGCGUAACGCGUAGGAAUCUACCUAUUAGUGGGGGACAACUUAGGGAAACUUAAGCUAGUACCGCAUACGCCCUACGGGGGAAAGAAGGGGAUCGCAAGACCUUUUGCUAAUAGAUGAGCCUGCGUAGGAUUAGCUAGUUGGUGGGGUAAAAGCUCACCAAGGCGACGAUCCUUAACUGGUUUGAGAGAAUGAUCAGUCACACUGGAACUGAGACACGGUCCAGACUCCUACGGGAGGCAGCAGUGGGGAAUAUUGGACAAUGGGCGAAAGCCUGAUCCAGCAAUACCGCGUGUGUGAAGAGGGCCUUAGGGUUGUAAAGCACUUUCAAUUGGAAGGAAAACCUCGAAGCUAAUACCUUCGAGUUUGACAUUACCUUUAGAAGAAGCACCGGCUAACUCCGUGCCAGCAGCCGCGGUAA
Molecule: ribosomal RNA, 499 nt
Filed under: uncultured bacterium
Lineage: Bacteria
Description: partial 16S ribosomal RNA
Rfam family: Bacterial small subunit ribosomal RNA
Source: RNAcentral